RNAcentral lists this ribosomal RNA (496 nucleotides) under uncultured bacterium. Its description in RNAcentral is "partial 16S ribosomal RNA". It matches the Rfam family "Bacterial small subunit ribosomal RNA", at positions 28 to 506 of the family's 1533-position model. The record is from RNAcentral.
GAUGAACGCUGGCGGCGUGCCUAAUACAUGCAAGUCGAGCGAACAGACGAGGAGCUUGCUCCUCUGACGUUAGCGGCGGACGGGUGAGUAACACGUGGAUAACCUACCUAUAAGACUGGGAUAACUUCGGGAAACCGGAGCUAAUACCGGAUAAUAUAUUGAACCGCAUGGUUCAAUAGUGAAAGACGGUUUUGCUGUCACUUAUAGAUGGAUCCGCGCCGCAUUAGCUAGUUGGUAAGGUAACGGCUUACCAAGGCAACGAUGCGUAGCCGACCUGAGAGGGUGAUCGGCCACCCUGAAACGGAGACACGGUCCAGACCCCUACGGGAGGAAGCAGUAGGGAAUCUUCCGCAAUGGGCGAAAGCCUGCCGGAGCAACGCCGCGUGGGUGAUGAAGGCCUUCGGAUGGUAAAACUCUGUUAUUGGGGAAGAACAAAUGUGUAAGUAACUAUGCACGUCUGGACGGUACCUAACCAGAAAGCCACGGCUAACUACGU